GCAUAUCGUCGCUGGGCUUCUAAAAUGUUGUAAAUUAUAAAUUUUUUCAAGAAAAAAAUUUCUCACAAACAGGCUUUGAAAAUUUUGGCAAAAUGCAUGCUUCCAAAAUGUCGUAUGUGAACUUGAACAUUUUUGUAAACAGCAGUGAAAUAAAAACGUUGACAUUUCUGGAUUAUCCAAGAACUUAAAUUAUUUUCACAGAAAUAAAGAAAUGUACAAUUAUUUUUUUCCCAAAGCCAUUCUACAACGAUUUUCAAGUUUUCAUACAACAUUUUGGAAGCAAACUUUACAAACAACUGACAUUGGCAAUUUUGUAAUAUGUCUUAUUUCACACAUUUUGAUUGGUCUAACUGUAUGCUAUUUUGUGAUACCAAAGAUUUCCUCCCGUCCAGACCAUUGGUGUCAAAAAGUAUUUUUAGCCAAAAAAGUCAUAUACGACAUUUUAGAAGCCCAGCGACGAUAUAUUUUAGAGUU
RNAcentral lists this long non-coding RNA (474 nucleotides) under Mytilus galloprovincialis (Mediterranean mussel). Lineage: Eukaryota; Metazoa; Mollusca; Bivalvia; Mytilida; Mytilidae. The record is from RNAcentral.